GGCUGUUUCCCUAGUAAGGCACGUGGACUGAAAAUCCUCGUGUCGGCGGUUCGAUUCCGCCCCCAGCCA
RNAcentral lists this transfer RNA (69 nucleotides) under Verrucomicrobiota bacterium. Its description in RNAcentral is "Verrucomicrobia bacterium tRNA-Phe". RNAcentral also lists the same sequence under 1 other name. Lineage: Bacteria; Pseudomonadati; Verrucomicrobiota. The record is from RNAcentral.